RNAcentral lists this ribosomal RNA (252 nucleotides) under uncultured bacterium. Its description in RNAcentral is "partial 16S ribosomal RNA". It matches the Rfam family "Bacterial small subunit ribosomal RNA", at positions 524 to 776 of the family's 1533-position model. The record is from RNAcentral.
UACGGAGGGUGCAAGCGUUAUCCGGAUUCACUGGGUUUAAAGGGUGCGUAGGUGGGUUGGUAAGUCAGUGGUGAAAUCCCCGAGCUUAACUUGGGAACUGCCAUUGAUACUAUCAGUCUUGAAUACCGUGGAGGUCAGCGGAACAUGUCAUGUAGCGGUGAAAUGCUUAGAUAUGACAUAGAACACCAAUUGCGAAGGCAGCUGGCUACACGAAUAUUGACACUCAGGCACGAAAGCGUGGGAUCAAACAGG